GAGGGGGUCGCGGCUGAUUAGCUAGUUGGUGGGGUAACGGCCCACCAAGGCAAAGAUCAGUAGCCGGCCUGAGAGGGCGCACGGCCACACUGGAACUGAAACACGGUCCAGACUCCUACGGGAGGCAGCAGUGGGGAAUUUUGCGCAAUGGGGGAAACCCUGACGCAGCAACGCCGCGUGGAGGAUGAAGUCCCUUGGGAUGUAAACUCCUUCCGAUCGGGACGAUAAUGACGGUACCGGAAGAAGAAGCACCGGCUAACUCUGUGCCAGCAGCCGCGGUAAUACAGAGGGUGCAAGCGUUGUUCGGAAUUAUUGGGCGUAAAGGGCGCGUAGGCGGUGCGGUAAGACUGUGGUGAAAUCUCCGGGCUCAACUCGGAAAUUGCCGCGGUGACUGCCGUGCUGGAGUGUGGGAGAGGUGAGUGGAAUUCCCGGUGUAGCGGUGAAAUGCGUAGAUAUCGGGAGG
This 463-nucleotide ribosomal RNA is filed under the name uncultured Acidobacteriota bacterium. Its description in RNAcentral is "bacterial SSU rRNA". It matches the Rfam family "Bacterial small subunit ribosomal RNA", at positions 224 to 704 of the family's 1533-position model. The record is from RNAcentral. Lineage: Bacteria; Pseudomonadati; Acidobacteriota.